RNAcentral lists this ribosomal RNA (1399 nucleotides) under uncultured Bordetella sp. Its description in RNAcentral is "partial 16S-23S ribosomal RNA intergenic spacer". It matches the Rfam family "Bacterial small subunit ribosomal RNA". The record is from RNAcentral. Lineage: Bacteria; Pseudomonadati; Pseudomonadota; Betaproteobacteria; Burkholderiales; Alcaligenaceae.
AGUUCGAUUAUGGCUCAGAUUGAACGCUGGCGGGAUGUACUUUACACAUGCAAGUCGAACGGCAGCACGGACUUCGGUCUGGUGGCGAGUGGCGAACGGGUGAGUAAUGUAUCGGAACGUGCCUGGCUGAGGGGAUAACUACGCGAAAGUGUAGCUAAUACCGCAUACGCCCUUCGAAGCAGGGGACCUUCGGGCCUCGCGCUAUUAGGAAGCGGCCGAUAUCGGAUUAGCUAGUUGGUGGGGUAACGGCUCACCAGGCGACGAUCCGUAGCUGGUUUGAGAGGACGACCAGCCACACUGGGACUGAGACACGGCCCAGACUCCUACGAAGGAGGCAGCGGUAGAAAUUUUGGACAAUGGGGAAACCUGAUCCAGCCAUCCCGCGUGGUGAUGAAGGCCACCGGGACAAGCACUUUUGGCGCGGCACCGGAUAACCACCGGUGCAACUGACAUUUACUGCGAAUAAGCAUGGUUAACCGUCGCCGCAGCCGCGGCAUACGGCAGGCAGCGAUCGAGCUAGAAUCACUAAUCUCAGCGACCACAACUUUCGUCAAAAAGCGAUCAAUAACCAGAUGAAAUUUUAGCUGCGAAACUGAAGUCAGUAGUCACGUAACAGUAGUCAUCGACGCCUGCUGACUACCACCAGUCUAAAACAACGCCCGUAAGCAUAUCGCAUAAGCGUAAACAAACGAGUCGAUACACUAACAGUCAACGCCUCGACAGUCGAAGCUAUCUCAACGCUAACAUGGUAGCGCAGCAACGCGUGAAGAUUGACCGCCUGGGAGACACGUCCAGCAGAUAAGCUAAAGGAAUUGACGGGGACCCGCACAAGCGGUGGAUGAUGUGGAUUAAUUCGAUGCAACGCGAAAACCUUACCUACCCUUGACAUGUCUGGAAUCCCGAAGAGAUUUGGGAGUGCUCGCAAGAGGAGAACCGGAACACAGGUGCUGCAUGGCUGUCGUCAGCUCGUGUCGUGAGAUGUUGGGUUAAGUCCCGCAACGAGCGCAACCCCUUGUCAUUAGUUGCUACGAAAGGGCACUCUAAUGAAGCUGCCGGUGACAAACCGGAGGAAGGUGGGGAUGACGUCAAGUCCUCAUGGCCCUUAUGGGUAGGGCUUCACACGUCAUACAAUGGUCGGGGCUGGGGUCGCCAACCCGCGAGGGGGAGCCAAUCCCAGAAACCCGAUCGUAGUCCGGAUCGCAGUCUGCAACUCGACUGCGUGAAGUCGGAAUCGCUAGCUAAUCGCGGAUCAGCAUGUCGCGAGUGAAUACGUUCCCGGGUCUUGUACACACCGCCCGUCACACCAUGGGGUGGGUUUUACCAGAAGUAGUUGGCCUAACCGUAAGGAGGCGAUUACCACGGUAGGAUUCAUGACUGGGGUAAAGUCGUAACAAGGUAA